Non-coding RNA from Lupinus albus (white lupine), 1156 nucleotides. NCBI's taxonomy places the organism in Eukaryota, Viridiplantae, Streptophyta, Magnoliopsida, Fabales, Fabaceae. The record is from the annotation of a GenBank genome assembly.
UUUUCACGUGGUUAAGGGGAUGGAAAUCCCUACCUUCGGCUCCCACUUCUUCUCCCCCAAUUCAAGCGGCGGCAACUUCUUUUCCAGUGGCGGCUACGAAACGGUUCGAGGUGGAAACGGCUUCAACUCUUUAUAGUUCCUCGAUAGAACCACCCCCUUUUCACCCCGGCAGCAGGGAGGGAAUCGGAUUGUGUAUAUGGGGAGAAUAGGAUGUGUGUCCUGUCUUGCAUAGGUGAUUGUAUACCUUGCACAGGAUACAGGGCAUCAAGUUUAUCCGUUUAGCAUAUUCAUGUUCAUACUCACAUUAAGCUGCCACUGUUGGAUCUGUUGUCCAGCGAUGGUUAUCUCUGCUGAGUUUGCUUGAAUUGCCGCCUCUGCAGCAUCUACUGUUCCUGCUGAUAUUUUAGUUGCUGGCGUUUGAAGCCUACUGGAGCCUGACCGAAGGGAAUUUAGAUUUGGGUUGGACUUUGUUGAAUAAGUUCAUAUACCUUUUGUACAGUCAAGUCAAGUAGACAUAAUCAAAUACAUGAUUGUAUGUAUCAUUUGUUAAGACUUAAUGUGUAGUGGGGUUUAAUUUGACCUUAGUGCAAGUAUAAUGCAGUUAAUGCCAUAGGGCUAAGAGGAGAGACAGUGCCAAAAGCUAGCCCUUAAUAAUCGAAUAUGUUAUCAACACUAGUUUAGAACAGAAUAAUUAUGAGAUAAAAAUGUCCUCCAAGACACAUAAAAAAAGUUCUUUACAAACAAACUUUCAAUUUUUAGUAUUCUCAAAAAUUGUAUUUUUAGUUUAUUGUCGGUAAAUUGGCCGGACAAAAUCGAGUGUUCGCAAAGGGGUUUCAAAACUCUAACAUUUGGAUGAAUAUAUGUAGAUCAAAUAAGGAAAGAAGAAUUGGAUUGGGUAAGGCGCUACAAAAUCAUCGGUGGUAUUGCCUGAGGCCUUCUUUAUCUUCAUGAGGAUUUUCGAUUGCAUAUCAUAUGAUAUCGUGAUCUCAAAGAAAGUAACAUACUCUUAGAUGAAGAGAUGAAUCCCAAGAUAUCAGAUUUGGAAUGGCAAGACUCUUUGUUGUGGAUCAAACGCAAGGAACUAUAAGUACAAUUGUUGGAAAAUAGUGAGUACUAGAAGAUGUUAGAGCAUAUUAAUUGUUAUUAUUAAUAUCAU